Non-coding RNA from Nannospalax galili (Upper Galilee mountains blind mole rat), 368 nucleotides. NCBI's taxonomy places the organism in Eukaryota, Metazoa, Chordata, Mammalia, Rodentia, Spalacidae. The record is from the annotation of a RefSeq genome assembly.
AUGUCCAUUCCCGGGUCCAGCUUCAACAGUCUGGGCCUGAUCUGAAGAAGCCUGGGACCUCAGUAAAGCUCUCUUGCAAGACUUCUGGCUAUACCUUCACCAGCUACACUAUACAUUGGGUGAAGCAAAAGCCUGGACAAGGGCUAGAGUGGAUAGGAUGGAUCUACCCUGGCAAUGACAACACAGGGUAUGCACAGAAGUUCAAGGGCAGGGUCUCAAUGACCAGUGAUACAUCAUCCAGGACAGCCUUCAUGGAGCUCAGCAGCCUGAUAUCUGAAGACUCAGCUGUUUAUUACUGUGCUAGACACAGCGUGGCAACCCACAUCCUGAGUGUGUCACAAAUCCUGAAGGAGCAGGAAGCAGCGUGA